This is a long non-coding RNA of Aegilops tauschii subsp. strangulata, 1180 nucleotides long. RefSeq lists it as uncharacterized. Lineage: Eukaryota; Viridiplantae; Streptophyta; Magnoliopsida; Poales; Poaceae. The record is from RefSeq and is a predicted model, not a curated record.
GGGGGCCCCAUUGGGCAGUGGCCCAUAUGGCCAACUGGGUGUGCGGGAGUGCGGGUACCGGGCGCGGGCGCCCAUCCAGGGCGAGGCCGUGGCCUCAGCUGGGCUCAGGGCCGGCCCUGAGGGGGGGCAGGGGGGCGGCCGCCCCGGGCCCCCAACAUCCAGGGGCCCCCGCCCAAGUAUGCAACAACUAAGCCUAGGUAGGCUAUGGGCCUAUGUCCGAAGAAAAAAUCAAAGGGCUGGGCGCUGGGCUUUAUUUAGUCUUCCAGGCAGACGCGCGAGCGCAAAACGAUCGCUAAAAAAAGCAAGCAGCAGGACGAUCGCUUUGAUCCCACUUUCCCCACCCAUCGUCGAUUCGUUCGUAUUCCAAUCACGAUCAGCCGCAAGCGAGCCCUUCACGUGAAAAAAGGAGCCAACAACGCGCGCCCUUCCUAUUCAAUCGGAUCACGCAGGCGCAGCUAUUCUAGCCCUAGCCGCCGAGGCCGGAUGUUCAUACUGGUACUGACGCCUCAUCCCUCCCGACUCCUGGUAAUCUCCUUCCUAAUUGACUGCUGAUUUCAGUUCCUAGGGCCCCCAUCUUAAUUUUGCAUAGGUAGUUAGGAACGCGUGUAAUCUAGUUCGCCGCUGAUUUCAAUUCCAGAGGCCCUCAUCUGUAAUUCCAUAAAGCACACGAACAAGGAAGACGGCCAUGGAUAAAUUGGUACAAUCAGGACAUAUUCAUCGGGUAGGGAUAAAAGGACAAGGAAGACGGCCAUGGAUAAAUUGGUACAAUCACAACACCCAGAUACGCACAAAUUUCUCAAGAGUAAUAAUGGUGCUUCCACUGCUUCGAUAAACAAAGAUGAUGAUUGGCAAUGGUUCCCAUAGAGGAAGAGCAACAACCAAUUGGGAAUUCAGAAUAUGAUCAGCGAGUAGAAAAUGUUGACACCAGCAUCGGCGAUGACAAUGUAAGUGGCUACGAGAUUAUGAGAUUAUUGAACUUAUUUUUGAACUAAAGAGUAUGAGUCACUUUGCCAUAUGGUGUAAUGUCUGCCAUGGAGAUUUUCGAACAUGUUAGAGAAGUUGAUAGCUAUCCUAAUAUCUCCAUUGUUUCUCACAUUUUAUUUGAUAUGCCUAUGAUGGUCGCAUCAGUCAAAAGAAGCUUUUCAAAUUUGUAAUUAUUGAAGAAACUAUUUGAGGUCAA